RNAcentral lists this ribosomal RNA (406 nucleotides) under uncultured bacterium. RNAcentral's name for it is "partial 16S ribosomal RNA". It matches the Rfam family "Bacterial small subunit ribosomal RNA", at positions 30 to 526 of the family's 1533-position model. The record is from RNAcentral.
AUUGAACGCUGGCGGCAGGCCUAACACAUGCAAGUCGAACGAGUGGCGGACGGGUGAGUAAUGUCUGGGAGACUGCCCGGUAGCGGGGGAUAACUUCUGGAAACGGGCGCUAAUACCGCAUACUAUCAGCUGAGCCUAGGUGGGCUUAGCUAGUUGGUGGGGUAAAGGCCUACCAAGGCGACGAUCCCUACCUGGUCUGCUAGGAUGAUCAGCCACACUGGAACUGAGACACGCUCCAGACUUCUACGGUAGGCAGCAGUGUGGAAUAUUGCACAAGGUGCGCAAGCCUGAUGCAGCCCUGCCGCGUUUAUGACGAAGGCCUUCGGGUUGUAAAGUACUUUCAUCGGGGAGGCGUGACCCGCAGAAGAAGCCCCGGCUAACUCCGUGCCAGCAGCCGCGGUAAUAC